This 254-nucleotide ribosomal RNA is filed under the name uncultured bacterium. RNAcentral describes it as "partial 16S ribosomal RNA". It matches the Rfam family "Bacterial small subunit ribosomal RNA", at positions 524 to 776 of the family's 1533-position model. The record is from RNAcentral.
UACGUAGGUGGCAAGCGUUGUCCGGAAUUAUUGGGCGUAAAGCGCGCGCAGGCGGUUCUUUAAGUCUGAUGUGAAAGCCCACGGCUCAACCGUGGAGGGUCAUUGGAAACUGGGGAACUUGAGUACAGAAGAGGAAAGCGGAAUUCCACGUGUAGCGGUGAAAUGCGUAGAGAUGUGGAGGAACACCAGUGGCGAAGGCGGCUUUCUGGUCUGUAACUGACGCUGAGGCGCGAAAGCGUGGGGGAGCAAACAGG